ACUCCUACGGGAGGCAGCAGUGGGGAAUAUUGGACAAUGGACCAAAAGUCUGAUCCAGCAAUUCUGUGUGUUUGAUGAAGGCCUUCGGGUUGUAAAGAACUUUCAGUGGGGAAGAAGCAAGUGACGGUACCCACAGAAGAAGCGACGGCUAAAUACGUGCCAGCAGCCGCGGUAAUACGUAUGUCGCAAGCGUUAUCCGGAAUUAUUGGGCAUAAAGGGCGUCUAGGCGGUCUAAUAAGUCUGAUGUGAAAAUGCGGGGCUCAACUCCGUAUUGCGUUGGAAACUGUUAGACUAGAGUUUUGGAGAGGUAGGCGGAACUACAAGUGUAGAGGUGAAAUUCGUAGAGAUUUGUAGGAAUGCCGAUGACGAAGGUAGCUUACUGGACAAAUACUGAACGCUGAAAGCGCGAAAGCUAGGGGAGCAAACAGGAUUAGAUACCCUGGUAGCGUCGUC
Molecule: ribosomal RNA, 453 nt
Filed under: uncultured bacterium
Lineage: Bacteria
Description: bacterial SSU rRNA
Rfam family: Bacterial small subunit ribosomal RNA
Source: RNAcentral